GUGUUUUAGCAGCAUAUAUACUAAAAUUGAAAUGAUAUAGGGAAGACUACCAUGGAUCCUACAAAAGGAUGACAUGCAAAAGUAAGUUUUUUUCCUUUCUUUU
Molecule: small nuclear RNA, 103 nt
Organism: Protopterus annectens (West African lungfish)
Lineage: Eukaryota; Metazoa; Chordata; Ceratodontiformes; Protopteridae
Source: RefSeq, a predicted model, not a curated record